GGCCAGGGUGAAGACGGUAAUGGGGGAGACUGAAGGCAGCGAUGUAGGAGACUAGAGGGAGAUCGAAGGCGGUGAUAGGAGAGAUCGGAGGGCUAGGGCGAAGGCAGCGAUAGUUCGCCCAAAUUUGAGAAAGAUGAAGAACAGCGAUGCCGGUGCCAUAAAAUGGGAAGCAGAAGAGUUAGGGCUAUUUCAAGCUUAUUUGAGAACCCAAUGCCAAGUCUAAUUCAAAUUAGGUGGUUAAGCUUAGCCAUCUUUAACAUUUAGAUCUUGACUUGGGUCUAAAUUUUGGGCUAAAAUUGGGCUUGCAAUCAGGCUUAGGCUCGGGCUCGGGCCGGGCCAAUAGUAGACCCGAGCCCAGUCCGAAAAUAAAACAGACUCUCUAUCUUAGCCCAAAUCCAGCCUGAUUAUGUUCGGACCUAACCCGAAGUCCGAUCUGUAGUCAGGCCAGCACAAAGCCCAUU
RNAcentral lists this long non-coding RNA (461 nucleotides) under Elaeis guineensis (African oil palm). Its description in RNAcentral is "long non-coding RNA (EGUI_LNC005297)". The record is from RNAcentral. Lineage: Eukaryota; Viridiplantae; Streptophyta; Magnoliopsida; Arecales; Arecaceae.